CGGAACUCUUUCUUAAAGACUUCCGAUUUUGAUGAACUAAACCGGAACUCUUUUAAGAAGUGUUCCGGUAGUCAGCCUUGUUUUUUUCCACACCGGAAUUCUUCUUUGAAGUGUUCCGGUGCGUUUUUAUUUUUAUUUUUUGUAUUUUUAAUUAUUUUGUUAUAAUAUUUUUUUGGAGUGGUUCGAAGACGAGGUACAAAUGGUAGGAUUCCAGACCGCAGUUUAGGUCGGGACGCAUCUUCAUCUGCAAU
Molecule: long non-coding RNA, 251 nt
Filed under: Lathyrus oleraceus (garden pea)
Lineage: Eukaryota; Viridiplantae; Streptophyta; Magnoliopsida; Fabales; Fabaceae
Description: Pisum sativum (pea) long non-coding RNA (PSAT_LNC033211)
Source: RNAcentral